This 491-nucleotide ribosomal RNA is filed under the name uncultured bacterium. RNAcentral's name for it is "bacterial SSU rRNA". It matches the Rfam family "Bacterial small subunit ribosomal RNA", at positions 29 to 509 of the family's 1533-position model. The record is from RNAcentral.
AGUGAACGCUGGCGGCAGGCCUAAUACAUGCAAGUCGAACGGCAGCACAGCAGAGCUUGCUCUGUGGGUGGCGAGUGGCGGACGGGUGAGGAAUACAUGGGAAUCUGCCCAGUCGUGGGGGAUAACGUAUGGAAACGUACGCUAAUACCGCAUGCGCCCUAAGGGGGAAAGCCGGGGACCGCAAGGCCUGGCGCGAUUGGAUGAGCCCAUGUUCGAUUAGCUAGUUGGCGGGGUAAAGGCCCAUCAAGGCGACGAUCGAUAGCUGGUCUGAGAGGAUGAUCAGCCACACUGGAACUGAGACACGGUCCAGACUCCUACGGGAGGCAGCAGUAGGGAAUAUUGGACAAUGGGGGCAACCCUGAUCCAGCCAUGCCGCGUGAGUGAAGAAGGCCCUCGGGUUGUAAAGCUCUUUUGUCCGGAAAGAAAGCAAUCGGUUAAUACCCGGUUGUUCUGACGGUACCGGAAGAAUAAGCACCGGCUAACUUCGUGCC